This 497-nucleotide ribosomal RNA is filed under the name uncultured bacterium. RNAcentral describes it as "partial 16S ribosomal RNA". It matches the Rfam family "Bacterial small subunit ribosomal RNA", at positions 28 to 507 of the family's 1533-position model. The record is from RNAcentral.
GAUGAACGCUGGCGGCGUGCCUAAUACAUGCAAGUCGAGCGAACGGACGAGAAGCUUGCUUUUCUGAUGUUAGCGGCGGACGGGUGAGUAACACGUGGAUAACCUACCUAUAAGACUGGGAUAACUUCGGGAAACCGGAGCUAAUACCGGAUAAUAUUUUGAACCGCAUGGUUCAAAAGUGAAAGACGGUCUUGCUGUCACUUAUAGAUGGAUCCGCGCUGCAUUAGCUAGUUGGUAAGGUAACGGCUUACCAAGGCAACGAUGCAUAGCCGACCUGAGAGGGGGAUCGGCCACACUGGAACUGAGCCACGGUCCAGACUCCUACGGGAGGCAGCAGUAGGGAAUCUUCCGCAAUGGGCGAAAGCCUGACGGAGCAACGCCGCGUGAGUGAUGAAGGUCUUCGGAUCGUAAAACUCUGUUAUUAGGGAAGAACAUAUGUGUAAGUAACUGUGCACAUCUUGACGGUACCUAAUCAGAAAGCCACGGCUAACUACGUG